CUCUGCUGGAAUUUAAAUUAAAAGAAAUUAAGUUAAAUAAUCAAAUUAACAUGUCAAAUAUGGUCCAUCCUAAAUAAUCAAUUAGAAAUUUAAAGAAAAUCAAGAAUAGUAAAAAAAAAAAAAUUAAGUCCUCAGACUAUAUAAAGCUGAUGGAAGUGAACUGAGCCUUCAUUUCCCAUCACUAAGGGGAAAGAAAGAGGAUACUUUCCUCAAGCCACACAAAGACAGUCCAGAAGAAUCCCUUCUGGUAACUAGACUGUCUGCAGGAAGAAAAUACACCUCUCACUUCUAUGCUUUCUAAGCUACAGAAAUUCAGAUGUCCAUUAUAGAGAAAACAAUGGGGCAGAACACGUUAGAAAAAUCUCGGAAAAACCUUGCAUGCUUUCCCUAGGCUUGAGUGUGGAUGACAUGGUAGUGUAAGAGCAUAGAAAUUAACUCCUGCUUUUUAAAUUCAUGAGGUGGAUAACAGUUAUCCUGGAAGGCCAAAUGAGUUUAAAAGGUCACAGAAAAUACACUAAGUCACAGCAUUUGGGAGAACAAAGAUUCAUGAACUUUCUGUGGGACAGAAGUUAAUCCUACAGAAUUAGUCAUCUUGAUGAACUCUAGCCAAUACAACUUAACAGAAGGAAAUAAGCUGUUGGGGGUGGGGUGGGGAGGUAGACUCCUAGGGACUAGAACUGGGAGGGAGAUACAAACAUAAUCUAUCAGUCAGAGAGUACAAAUGGGGCAGCAUGAUGGAUUGUAAGGAGCCUCCAAAGAACCACCAUGUGCAACACAAUACGGAAUCAACAUUUGGGAGUCUGCUAUGCAGAUAGCCUUGUCAAAUUACAACAGUGCCAGUCAGUUAGGCCAAGUAGGACUUUUAUUUUAGUCUUUAUCUUUUCAUCAGCACUAAAGGAUUCAUCAGUAAUAGGAAGGAAAAGAAAACAAUACCCAUUUUCCUCUAGUACAGUUUCCCUCGCCAUAAGGUAAACCUAAUCUAAAGAAAAGAAGGUUGAGAGACUGAAAUUUAGGUCAGGGUUGGAUAUAUGAACAUUCUAAAAAUUCAUCCCAAUAGC
Long non-coding RNA from Mustela erminea (ermine), 1058 nucleotides. RefSeq lists it as uncharacterized. The transcript is spliced from 2 exons. Lineage: Eukaryota; Metazoa; Chordata; Mammalia; Carnivora; Mustelidae. The record is from RefSeq and is a predicted model, not a curated record.